Molecule: ribosomal RNA, 497 nt
Filed under: uncultured bacterium
Lineage: Bacteria
Description: partial 16S ribosomal RNA
Rfam family: Bacterial small subunit ribosomal RNA
Source: RNAcentral
GAUGAACGCUGGCGGCGUGCCUAAUACAUGCAAGUCGAGCGAACAGACGAGGAGCUUGCUCCUCUGACGUUAGCGGCGGACGGGUGAGUAACACGUGGAUAACCUACCUAUAAGACUGGGAUAACUUCGGGAAACCGGCGCUAAUACCGGAUAAUAUAUUGCACCGCAUGGUUCAAUAGUGAAAGACGGUUUUGCUGUCACUUAUAGAUGGAUCCGCGCCGCAUUAGCUAGUUGGUAAGGUAACGGCUUACCAAGGCAACGAUGCGUAGCCGACCUGAGAGAGUGAUCGGCGACACUGGAACUGAGACACGGUCCAGACUCCUACGGGAGGCAGCAGUAGGGAAUCUGCCGCAAUGGGCGAAAGCCUGACGGAGCAACGCCGAGUGAGUGAUGAAGGUCUUCGGAUCGUAAAACUCUGUUAUUAGGGAAGAACAAAUGUGUAAGUAACUAUGCACGUCUUGACGGUACCUAAUCAGAAAGCCACGGCUAACUACGUG